This 372-nucleotide ribosomal RNA is filed under the name uncultured organism. RNAcentral describes it as "bacterial SSU rRNA". It matches the Rfam family "Bacterial small subunit ribosomal RNA", at positions 526 to 896 of the family's 1533-position model. The record is from RNAcentral.
CGUAGGGUGCGAGCGUUAAUCGGAAUUACUGGGCGUAAAGCGUGCGCAGGCGGUUGUGUAAGACAGGCGUGAAAUCCCCGGGCUCAACCUGGGAACUGCGCUUGUGACUGCACGGCUAGAGUACGGCAGAGGGGGGUGGAAUUCCACGUGUAGCAGUGAAAUGCGUAGAGAUGUGGAGGAACACCAAUGGCGAAGGCAGCCCCCUGGGUCGAUACUGACGCUCAUGCACGAAAGCGUGGGUAGCAAACAGGAUUAGAUACCCUGGUAGUCCACGCCCUAAACGAUGUCAACUAGGUGUUGGGAGGGUAAAACCUUUUAGCACCGGAGCUAACGCGUGAAGUUGACCGCCUGGGGAGUACGGCCGCAAGGUUA